RNAcentral lists this ribosomal RNA (497 nucleotides) under uncultured bacterium. RNAcentral's name for it is "partial 16S ribosomal RNA". It matches the Rfam family "Bacterial small subunit ribosomal RNA", at positions 28 to 507 of the family's 1533-position model. The record is from RNAcentral.
GAUGAACGCUGGCGGCGUGCCUAAUACAUGCAAGUCGAGCGAACGGACGAGAAGCUUGCUUUUCUGAUGUUAGCGGCGGACGGGUGAGUAACACGUGGAUAACCUACCUAUAAGACUGGGAUAACUUCGGGAAACCGGAGCUAAUACCGGAUAAUAUUUUGAACCGCAUGGUUCAAAAGUGAAAGACGUUCUUGCUGUCACUUAUAGAUGGAUCCGCGCUGCAUUAGCUAGUUGGUAAGGUAACGGCUUACCAAGGCAACGAUGCAUAGCCGACCUGAGAGGGUGAUCGGCCACACUGGAAAUGAGACACGGUCCAGACGCCUACGGGAGGCAGCAGUAGGGAAUCUUGCGCAAUGGGCGAAAGCAUGACGGAGCAAGGCCGCGUGAGUGAUGAAGGUCUUCGGAUCGUAAAACUCUGUUAUUAGGGAAGAACAUAUGUGUAAGUAACUGUGAACAUCUUGACGGUACCUAAUCAGAAAGCCACGGCUAACUACGUG